UACAAGCCCGCGUUAAGGAUUGAAGCUUUGUUUGAGCUCUUUUGUGAAGCAUGAACAAAAAGCGAGUGCGAAAAGCCUGACCUGAA
This 86-nucleotide small RNA is filed under the name Lutibacter sp. Hel_I_33_5. RNAcentral describes it as "Flavo-1 RNA". Lineage: Bacteria; Pseudomonadati; Bacteroidota; Flavobacteriia; Flavobacteriales; Flavobacteriaceae. The record is from RNAcentral.